UCACUCCCUCAGAACAUGCCCUUACCAUGUGACUAUUGUAUAACCUUAUUCUCCAGGCUUACUUUAAAAUUCAUAAGGUGAAUUCAUUGCCUGAACAUGUGCAUUGGCUGUAAUUCUACAGCAGAACUGGAAGUCACAAAAGCCAGAGAGCUUCUGAAAAAUCCUGUGCUGGGGACCUCAUGAAGUGAUGGAUCUGAAGGCCAGGAAACAGGACUUAGAAGGGAUAAGAAGGCUGAGAAAACAUAAGGACGGAUGGAUCUGUGGUUUGAAGCUUAUAAUCAAGUCAGCCUUGCUGCUGGACUCAUUCUGACCCAGGACCGUGGACCAGGUGAGGAAACCGAGGCACUGAGACUUAAGUAAAUUGCCCAAGGAGAAGACAGAGACGAGGAACAGUGAGGGGGCCAGUGUGACAAGAACAUAGGAAACAAGUGGGAGAUGACGGAAGACGAAUGUGAAGAAGUAGUAAGAGACAAGGUUCUGGAGGGUGUUGCAGGCCAUUGUAAGAAAUUUGACUUUUAUGCUGAGUGAGAUGGUAAACCAUCGGUGGGUUUCGAGCAGAAGAGUGAUGUGUUUUGACUUAUAUUUAAAAAUCAUUUUCUUGCUGCUAGGCUGAGGAGAAAUUGUAAGCAGGGGUGAGGACUGGGGUGAGCGGAGAAGGGGUGUGUAUAUCAAGAGUGGAGCCAGGCCAACCAGGUAGGAGGCCAUUGCAAUAAUCCAGGUAAGGGGAUAGGAGUGGCUUGGUUACUAAACUGACGCCAGUAUAUUGACUAUACUUGAUUGGGCCUAUCUAUAUCUCUGUUGACUAAAUAGAGAGAGGAGGUGGUGAGAGAUGGUACAUAAAAUUACUAUGUAUUUAUUGCUACUAUAUAUAUUCCUUAAUUACAAUUUACUACACAUAGAUAAAUCCGGAUGAGUGUUUUCUAUGUACACCUUAGUAUAUUUAUGGUCAACCCGUGAUGAUAAAUAUGGUAGUGCAUAUUUUACAAAGCAACUUGAAUUAUUUUGAAAACAACCCAAUGAGGUAUGCGUGUUAGUCACAUAUUGCUCCUGCCACUUAACAUAAGAGAAAACAGACUCAGUGAACUGAGAGGUUAACUUGUCUAGGAUCAUGUGAACUGUGAGUCAGAAGCCUGUGCUUUCUCCACUGAACUCAACUUCCUAACUAAGCUUGUGCCAAGGAACAUCUCAAGAUGAAAAUGAAAAAGGAGGUUACAAUUGCCAGGAUACAGAAAAGUAAGCCUACAGCAAUCCCGUUGCCGGCCGUUUAGGACAAAUGUCUACUUUCAGUAACUACCACAGUUAGUUCUCAGCCUUUAAAUCAUGUGCACUAAAAGUUCAACUUUGAUAAAAGUGGCAAAUUAUUAUAUAGAAGACCUAUUAAGAUGAAGAAAACCCAAAUAAACUAACCUUAUAAAGUCAGAUAGUGACAAAAUCUUUUCUAAGAUGAUUUUAAGUUAAGACACAGACGAGCCUUUCGAGAAAGAGCUCAAAGCAUUUUCUCUGCUCACUGUAGCUUCAAGAAUCAGCGAAACAUCCACACUCGAUUAGCUUUGAUUUCCAAUUCAUGAAAACCCAACUUGUCAUUUUUUUAAAUUUUUGCUCAAUAUGCAGUGACAUUAACUCAGCCUUUUCAAGUUUUCUUCUUUUCUUGGCUGUUAAGUAGAUUACCUCUUUUCUAACGACAAGGUCAAAACUAAGGUGAGGUACUAGUUCUAGGCACAAACUUUAUGGGGGUGUUAAAAAAAUUAGUAGUCAAGAUAAAUAAUAUUUUAGUGUGAUAUUUUUAAAAAUCAAAAUUAAUGCCAAAACAUUUAUAAUUAAUAAAAUAUCAAAAUAUCAAAAUUUUAAAUAAAGACAGUAUCAGCAUUACUGACUUCUCCUUCUGCCUUAGGCUUCGCUAUGGCUUGGUACAGCACUGGCACAUGAUAUUGCCUUCUGAUGUUUCAUGCUUCAGCGUUCUUUUUGCAUGUAGUAUUCAGUACAAGCCGAUGUGGUUUCUCUCAUGUGAGGCUGAAAUACAGGAAGAAUAAGAACAGAGACAGGGUCCACCAAGGAGGGAUCUUGCUGUUUAAUUGUGGCUUCUGAGUGGAUAGAGAGUUGCAGUGGUCGUUGUUUGUUGUCAGUGCUUUCCAGAUGAUGGGUAAUCAGUGCCCAUGGAAGUUCACUCUGGUGCAGUGCAAAGAAUAUAGGGGAAUUUGGAAGUUUUAAUUAGCUUCUCCUGGCUUCAGCUUCUUCAUCUGUAAAAAUGAGAUGACUCAACGUGAGUGUGCAACAGAAUCAUCUGCAGAACUUAAAACAAAAAACAACAGCUACUGGAGCCUCAUAAGUACCAAGUUGGGUAAGAUGCACGUGCAUUUCAAGAGCUCCAUAGGUGUGUCCUCCACUGAACUCGACUUUUCUACAGGUUCUCUUCCACUUGAAAAUACUAUUUUUAAUCACAUAUUUGUACAUGUUGCUUAUGAGAAAUUAAAUUGGCACAAGAUAUAUUAAACGCCGUAAGAAUUUGCCUGCCUUUUAACUUAAUGAGUUCUUUUGUAGGAAUUUCUUCCUCAGAAAUUACGUCAUGUACACAAACAUAUAUAUUCAAGAAUAUUCAUUCUUGAUUGUAAAAACAAACUGUUGAAACAAUAAAAGUGAUUAACACUAAGAUCUUAUUUAUGGAUAAAUAAUGGUAUAUCACUACAACAAAAUACCAUGUAGUCAUUGAAAGUUAAAUUAUAAGAGAAUAAUUAGUGAUGUGGAAAAUUUUCAUGAGAUAUUUGUAAAAUGAAGAAAAGCAGAUUUUAAAGUGUAUGUGAGUAUAAUCAUGUGUGAUUAUUAACAUGUGUGAGAAUUAUGCUGCCUGAAAGAAGUGAGACAUGAAAGAGUAUAUAUUGCAUGAUUCCAUUUAUAUAAAACUAGAAACAACAAAUCUAAUCUAUAGUGACAUAAAGCAGAUCGGGGUUGCCUGAAACUGAAACAGGGAGUGGAGAGGCGGAUGGACUGGGAAGGGCUGGAGACACAAGGCAACUUUUUGAAGUGAUGGGAAUGCUUUUCAUCUUGAUUGUGAUGGUUGCACAAGCGUAUACAUUUCAACACUGGAAAUUGGUACAUUUUAUUGUAUGGAAAUAAUACUUCAACUAAAAAUAUAGAGAGAAACUAUGUAUAAAGUUCUCUAUAAAGUGUUUUCUUAAAAACACCUAAAAUGUUAACUGUUAAAACAACUAAACUAUUGAAAUAAAACCAUGGGAACAUUAUUCCAUGUUUUUACAAAUAUAUGUAUCUAUGUCUUAAAAAUAAAUUGGAAAUAUAUAUAUAUAAAUGUAAAUACCAAUGGUAACUAUUAUGUUUGGAAGGUAAGUUAGAGUUGAUUUUUUUCUUUAUCCUUUCUUAUUUUUUCAAAAUUUCUAUAGUGAACAUAUUAUAAUUUUUAUAAUAAGAAGAUUAG
This is a long non-coding RNA of Equus caballus (horse), 3427 nucleotides long. The record is from Ensembl. NCBI's taxonomy places the organism in Eukaryota, Metazoa, Chordata, Mammalia, Perissodactyla, Equidae.